RNAcentral lists this ribosomal RNA (253 nucleotides) under uncultured bacterium. RNAcentral describes it as "partial 16S ribosomal RNA". It matches the Rfam family "Bacterial small subunit ribosomal RNA", at positions 524 to 776 of the family's 1533-position model. The record is from RNAcentral.
UACGUAGGGUGCGAGCGUUAAUCGGAAUUACUGGGCGUAAAGCGUGCGCAGGCGGUUUUGUAAGCCAGAUGUGAAAGCCCCGGGCUCAACCUGGGAAUGGCAUUUGGGACUGCAAGGCUUGAGUGCGGCAGAGGAGACUGGAAUUCCUGGUGUAGCAGUGAAAUGCGUAGAUAUGUGGAGGAACACCGAUGGCGAAGGCAGCCCCCUGGGUUAACACUGACGCUCAUGCACGAAAGCGUGGGGAGCAAACAGG